UACGUAGGCAGCAAGCGUUGUUCGGAGUUACUGGGCGUAAAGGGUGCGUAGGCGGCUUUUUAAGUUUGGUGUGAAAUCUCCCGGCUCAACUGGGAGGGUGCGCCGAAUACUGAGAGGCUAGAGUGUGGGAGAGGAAAGUGGAAUUCCUGGUGUAGCGGUGAAAUGCGUAGAUAUCAGGAGGAACACCGGUGGUGUAGACGGCUUACUGGGCCACGACUGACACUGAGGCACGAAAGCGUGGGUAGCAAACAGG
This 253-nucleotide ribosomal RNA is filed under the name uncultured bacterium. RNAcentral describes it as "partial 16S ribosomal RNA". It matches the Rfam family "Bacterial small subunit ribosomal RNA", at positions 524 to 776 of the family's 1533-position model. The record is from RNAcentral.